AGGAUGAACGCUGGCGGCGUGCUUAACACAUGCAAGUCGAACGAUGAAGCGGAGCUUGCUCUGUGGAUUAGUGGCGAACGGGUGAGUAACACGUGAGUAACCUGCCCUUGACUCUGGGAUAAGCACUGGAAACGGUGUCUAAUACCGGAUACGAGUUUCAGCCGCAUGGCUAGGAGUUGGAAAGAAUUUCGGUCAAGGAUGGACUCGCGGCCUAUCAGGUAGUUGGUGAGGUAAUGGCCCACCAAGCCUACGACGGGUAGCCGGCCUGAGAGGGUGACCGGCCACACUGGGACUGAGACACGGCCCAGACUCCUACGGGAGGCAGCAGUGGGGAAUAUUGCACAAUGGGCGCAAGCCUGAUGCAGCAACGCCGCGUGAGGGACGACGGCCUUCGGGUUGUAACCUCUUUAGUAGGGAAGAAGCGAAAGUGACGGUACCUGCAGAAAAGCACCGGCUAACUACGUGCCAGCAGCCGCGGU
RNAcentral lists this ribosomal RNA (479 nucleotides) under uncultured bacterium. Its description in RNAcentral is "SSU rRNA". It matches the Rfam family "Bacterial small subunit ribosomal RNA", at positions 26 to 521 of the family's 1533-position model. The record is from RNAcentral.